UCGAACUAGAAGGGCCAGGUU
RNAcentral lists this microRNA (21 nucleotides) under Oryza sativa (Asian cultivated rice). Its description in RNAcentral is "osa-miR5818". The record is from miRBase by way of RNAcentral. Lineage: Eukaryota; Viridiplantae; Streptophyta; Magnoliopsida; Poales; Poaceae.